CAGAAUGAACGCUGGCGGCGAUGGAUUAGGCAUGCAAGUCGAACGGGUCCCUUCGGGGACUAGUGGCGCAAGGGUCGAGUAACACGUGAGCAACCUGCCCCCGAAUCCGGAAUAAUCCAGGGAAACUUGGUCUAAAACCGGAUGUCGGCGUUUACCCGCAUGGGUUUCCGCCGAAAUAUUCAUAGUUCGGGGAUGGGCUCGCGUCCCAUUAGCUGGUUGGCGGGGUAACGGCCCACCAAGGCUACGACGGGUAGGUGGUCUGAGAGGAUGGUCACCCACACUGGGACUGAGACACUGCCCAGACUCCUACGGGAGGCUGCAGUCGAGAAUCUUCCGCAAUGGGCGCCAAGCCUGACGGAGCGAUGCCGCGUGAGGGAAGAAGGCCUUCGGGUUGUAAACCUCUGUCACCCGGGACGAAAUCAAUGACGGUACCGGGAAAGGAAGCCACGGCUAACCACGUGCCAGCAGCGGC
RNAcentral lists this ribosomal RNA (472 nucleotides) under uncultured bacterium. Its description in RNAcentral is "bacterial SSU rRNA". It matches the Rfam family "Bacterial small subunit ribosomal RNA", at positions 25 to 518 of the family's 1533-position model. The record is from RNAcentral.